AACUCAGAAGCCUGAUGGUCUACCACUGUGCUACAUUUCUAGCCCUAACCUCUCUCUAAAGAACAGCUGUUGAAUGAACGGGAACAAGAGGGUCCCCCCCUUUCUGAGACAGGAUAAAGGCCUGCCCAGCCAGACUUCCCAAGUUGGUGUGGACUUCUUGGAGCCGUGUAUUGGCAACCAGGAUCUCACUCUGUACUUCAGAUUGGCCUUAGCCCAGCUGACCUCAAACUCAU
Heterocephalus glaber (naked mole-rat) is the source of this 233-nucleotide non-coding RNA. The record is from RefSeq and is a predicted model, not a curated record. NCBI's taxonomy places the organism in Eukaryota, Metazoa, Chordata, Mammalia, Rodentia, Bathyergidae.